CUUCACCGAGCCGAGCCACAGCGGCCGGUCCCGGUCCCGGCCCUGACCGUAGGUCGCGAGCAGGGCCGCCGCCUC
This 75-nucleotide antisense RNA is filed under the name Streptomyces scopuliridis RB72. RNAcentral describes it as "ASpks TB sRNA". It matches the Rfam family "ASpks TB sRNA". Lineage: Bacteria; Bacillati; Actinomycetota; Actinomycetes; Kitasatosporales; Streptomycetaceae. The record is from Rfam by way of RNAcentral.